CUAAUUUAUUGUAUUUUGGCAGCUGGAAAUUUAAACAGAUAAAAUUGUUAUAUUUCAGCUCACUGUCUCAAUCCAGCUGGUGGAAUGUGGAAUACUCAUCUGAGGAGUAUCGGGAGUUGGCGAUGCCUUUGGAAGGGAACAUGAAUCUGACUGCUUGAACACUGGCAUUAAUCUUGUUCAACUGAGAAAUAGUGGAGAAGCCUCUUUACUGGGCUUGAGAAUCUACCUUAAGAGCCCUGGGCUGUCUAAUCCUGAAUUGUUUUAUGAGGAAGAAUGUAAACUUAUGUCUUAUCUAAAACACCAUUAUUUUGGUUUUCUAUCAUAUUCACUUAUACAAAUGCCUACUUGUUAUAUACA
RNAcentral lists this long non-coding RNA (357 nucleotides) under Fukomys damarensis (Damara mole-rat). RNAcentral's name for it is "lncRNA (ENSFDAG00000029440.1)". Lineage: Eukaryota; Metazoa; Chordata; Mammalia; Rodentia; Bathyergidae. The record is from RNAcentral.